ACGUAGGGUGCAAGCGUUGUCCGGAUUUAUUGGGCGUAAAGAGCUCGUAGGCGGUUUGUCGCGUCGGAUGUGAAAACCCAAUGGCUUAACCUUGGGCCUGCAUUCGAUACGGGCAAACUAGAGUGUGGUAGGGGAGACUGGAACUCCUGGUGUAGCGGUGGAAUGCGCAGAUAUCAGGAAGAACACCGAUGGCGAAGGCAGGUCUCUGGGCCAUAACUGACGCUGAGGAGCGAAAGCGUGGGGAGCGAACAG
RNAcentral lists this ribosomal RNA (252 nucleotides) under uncultured prokaryote. Its description in RNAcentral is "partial 16S rRNA". It matches the Rfam family "Bacterial small subunit ribosomal RNA", at positions 525 to 775 of the family's 1533-position model. The record is from RNAcentral.